AACGAACGCUGGCGGCAUGCCUAACACAUGCAAGUCGAACGAGACCUUCGGGUCUAGUGGCGCACGGGUGCGUAACGCGUGGGAACCUGCCCUUAGGUUCGGAAUAACUCCCCGAAAGGGGUGCUAAUACCGGAUAAUGUCUUCGGACCAAAGAUUUAUCGCCUUUGGAUGGGCCCGCGUUGGAUUAGCUAGUUGAUAGGGUAAAAGCCUACCAAGGCGACGAUCCAUAGCUGGUCUGAGAGGAUGAUCAGCCACACUGGGACUGAGACACGGCCCAGACCCCUAGGGGAGGGAGCAGUGGGGAAUAUUGGACAAGGGGCGAAAGCCUGAUCCAGAAAUGCCGGGUGAGGUAAGAAGGCUUGAGGGUUGUAAAGCUCUUUUACCCGGGGUGAAAAUGACAGUACCGGGAGAAUAAGCUCCGGCUAACUCCGU
Molecule: ribosomal RNA, 432 nt
Filed under: uncultured bacterium
Lineage: Bacteria
Description: partial 16S ribosomal RNA
Rfam family: Bacterial small subunit ribosomal RNA
Source: RNAcentral